Long non-coding RNA from Micropterus salmoides (largemouth bass), 448 nucleotides. RefSeq lists it as uncharacterized. The transcript is spliced from 2 exons. NCBI's taxonomy places the organism in Eukaryota, Metazoa, Chordata, Actinopteri, Centrarchiformes, Centrarchidae. The record is from RefSeq and is a predicted model, not a curated record.
UUGUUUCGUCUAUUUGCCUGUUUCUCUCGUUCCUUGUCCUUAGUUUAUGUCUCUAUCCUCGUUUUGGACUCUGUAUCAGCCACUCAAUCAGUUGCCGGGAGGCGUCCCUCGGGUUCCUGCCCUACUUAAGCAGCGGCCUGACGUCCUGUCCUCGCCGGAUUGUUAAGUCGUCUCUGUACGUCUUGGCUACCAGCUCGUUUGGUUAGGAACCAUACCUGUACUCUGUUUGUUAAGCUGACAACUAACCUGUUUUUCCUGCACUCAGGAUCUCUACCGGACUCGUCCGUGACCAACUCACCUUCCCCGCGUCCUGGUUCUCACUCUCCCGCCUGUUACCUGUUUGCCUCUCUGCCUGGACCCCAUCAGCUUCCUUCGCCUGCCUGCUCUGCCUGCCCCGAUCCCCGCAGCCACCGCCAGCUCCUUGACUCAAUAAAUCUCUGAGAACCAG